UACGGAGGGGGCAAGCGUUAUUCGGAAUCAUUGGGCGUAAAGGGCGCGUAGGCGGCCCCAUAAGUCAGUGGUGAAAGCCUCCAGCUCAACUGGAGAACUGCCAUUGAUACUGACGGGCUUGAGUACAGACGAGGUUGGCGGAAUUGAUUGUGUAGCGGUGAAAUGCAUAGAUACAAUCAAGAACUCCGAUUGCGUAGGCAGCUAACUAGGCUGUAACUGACGCUGAGGCACGAAAGCGUGGGGAGCGAACAGG
Molecule: ribosomal RNA, 253 nt
Filed under: uncultured bacterium
Lineage: Bacteria
Description: partial 16S ribosomal RNA
Rfam family: Bacterial small subunit ribosomal RNA
Source: RNAcentral